AUUUGCCUCCAUAACCUUGUCUUCUCCAAACAACAUAGGCUUAAGCUCUUCACCAUCUCAUAACUAAGAGUCUCCAUACCUUUUGAUCAUCUGUUUUCCUGAUCUCCAGAAUGUGUGCAUCUCUACAUUGACAGAGUAUUCCAAACUGGAUGAAUGGUGGAAGUCUGGCAAGCUGCUAUUUCAAGUUGACAAGGACAGACGCAAAGGAUAAGAGAAAGCAAAGCAAGGACCAGGAAGGUCUUUUUCCAAGCAGGGAGAGCUUGCCUGCAGAUUUCUUACAGGUACAGUACAGGCCACAGCAGGCCAUCCGUGCAACAGAUUGUUUUCUUUACAGUAUGCCACCUCUUGCUGGAAUAACCCACUCCUGGUGUAAAAAACCCAUCACAUUGCCUGGAAAUGCUAGUGCACUCAGAGCUAAUAUGUGAUAAAGAGCAGCUCAUCUCCCUCCUGCAAAGUGGAGAAUGAACAGGAA
RNAcentral lists this long non-coding RNA (472 nucleotides) under Gopherus evgoodei (Goodes thornscrub tortoise). RNAcentral describes it as "lncRNA (ENSGEVG00005015238.1)". Lineage: Eukaryota; Metazoa; Chordata; Testudines; Testudinidae. The record is from RNAcentral.